UCUCCCUUGAUCUGAGCAUAGAUAUCUAAACCAUUUUCACACCUAUAAAUACUAUUAACUUUUACGUGGGUUUCUUUGCUAACUUGAGUUUGUGGAUAUCCUCCAUUGCUCAUGUAAACUGCAUUCUGGGAUUUUGGACUAAUCUAUCACAUCUCCAGACAAAUUACUUGUCAAUCCAGUUUGUCCAAUUACUAAGAGUCCAAAGCCAUCACCUUCCAAACUUGGGACAUAGUAGUAUUCCUUUUUGUUAGUGAUUUC
RNAcentral lists this long non-coding RNA (258 nucleotides) under Glycine max (soybean). RNAcentral's name for it is "long non-coding RNA (GMAX_LNC004210)". The record is from RNAcentral. Lineage: Eukaryota; Viridiplantae; Streptophyta; Magnoliopsida; Fabales; Fabaceae.